Molecule: non-coding RNA, 73 nt
Organism: Dictyocaulus viviparus (bovine lungworm)
Lineage: Eukaryota; Metazoa; Nematoda; Chromadorea; Rhabditida; Metastrongylidae
Source: Rfam
GCCUCGGUAGUGUAAUGGAUCAGCACGGCAGACCGGAUGUCUGUAAGUACGAGUUCGAGUCCCACCUGAGGCU